This 406-nucleotide ribosomal RNA is filed under the name uncultured bacterium. Its description in RNAcentral is "bacterial SSU rRNA". It matches the Rfam family "Bacterial small subunit ribosomal RNA", at positions 30 to 431 of the family's 1533-position model. The record is from RNAcentral.
AUUGAACGCUGGCGGCGUGCCUAACACAUGCAAGUCGAGCGAAUGAAGGGAGCUUGCUCCUGGAUUUAGCGGCGCACGGGUGAGUAACACGUGGAUAAUCUACCCUUCGAUUUGGGAUACCAGUUGGAAACGACUGUUAAUACCGGAUACGAUCCUUUUUUAUAGAUUGGAUGAAAGGCGGUGCAAGCUGUCGUCGAGGGAUGAGUCCGCGUCUCAUUAGCUAGUUGGUGGGGUAAUGGCCUACCAAGGCAGUGAUGAGUAGCCGGCCUGAGAGGGUGAACGGCCACACUGGGACUGGAACACGGCCCAGACUCCUACGGGAGGCAGCAGUGGGGAAUAUUGCGCAAUGGGCGAAAGCCUGACGCAGCGACGCCGCGUGAGGGAUGAAGGCCUUCGGUCGUAAACC